GAUGAACGCUAGCUACAGGCUUAACACAUGCAAGUCGAGGGGAAACGACAUCGAAAGCUUGCUUUUGAUGGGCGUCGACCGGCGCACGGGUGAGUAACGCGUAUCCAACCUGCCCACCACUUGGGGAUAACCUUGCGAAAGUAAGACUAAUACCCAAUGAUAUCCCACGAAGACAUCUGAAUGGGAUUAAAGAUUUAUCGGUGAUGGAUGGGGAUGCGUCUGAUUAGCUUGUUGGCGGGGUAACGGCCCACCAAGGCAACGAUCAGUAGGGGUUCUGAGAGGAAGGCCCCAAAAGUGGAAACAGAAAGAGGGACAAAACACAAAGGGGAGGAGGAAGUGAGGAAUAGUGGAAAAGGGGCGAGGGACUGAACCAGAAAAGUAGGGGGAAGGAAGAGGGCCCUAGGGUUUUAAAACUUUUUUAAAAAGGAAAAAAAGGGGGGAAGGUGUGAUUUUUGGAAUUUACCUAAUAAAUAAGAACGGGCAAAUUCCGUG
This 492-nucleotide ribosomal RNA is filed under the name uncultured bacterium. RNAcentral's name for it is "partial 16S ribosomal RNA". It matches the Rfam family "Bacterial small subunit ribosomal RNA", at positions 28 to 507 of the family's 1533-position model. The record is from RNAcentral.